GAAAUCACUACUACCUAAUUGCUUGCGAAUCAUAACCUUGCUUGGCCUUCUCUUUCUUGCCGGUGGGGUCUUCAGCUACAGCAAGCUACUUACCAGAAUUGACAAUGUCUUUACCUUUCUGAACAGGUGGAGUCCUCAGCCAGAGCAGGCUACUUACAAGAAUUGACAACUUCUUUACCUUUCUGAACAGUAACAGAUUUGUGCGAAAAAGGGAUUUUCCUUUCUUGUUGUUGCUGAAUAUCAAGAAGAAUGAGGUGCUGGAGUCCAUGUGGAUGCUGUAAUGACGAAGAUCAAGAUAAUUCAGAGAGAAUAGCACUUAUUUCUCCUGGAGGAGGAACUGAUGCAAUUCCUGACGAUGCUUGGUUGCCUCCUCCCGUGAGUAUAAACUAUUCUAAUCUUGAAGUUGAUACUGAUAAUGAAGUAAACCCAGCCACGGACAUAGCGGAUCACAGUAGCACAUUGCUUUAUACUUCAAGUAGAGAAGGGAUAGUUUGUGAUCCUAUUCAUGAGCGUCAUUUUGACCUUCCCCUCGAGCAGUUCUUGCGCGAUUUGUUGCUGGACAGGCACAUCGAUGUGCUGCGUGCAAUACUGCCACAGAAUCUCAUCAGUACCGGUAUAUAGACCAACAUGGGAAGAUCACUGUACAAAUUAAGUGUCUUCCUCCGGACCAUUGUCUGCCUGUUGAAGCGGGAAGGGAGCUUUGGAUGUGGAGCCAUUGUUUAAGAUGUAAGCAUUCUACGGAAAGAGUGGUGAUGCCAGCUGCAACCCGCCGUUUACCAUUUGGGAAGUCUUUGGAGCUUUUCUUCACAAGCCAUCCCACUUCUACUAACCUACCGAACUAUGAACACCCCAUCCACGAGGAUUAUCUUUACUUUUACGGAUUGGGCCCCAUGGUGACAGCUUUCAAAUACCCGCAACUAAACAUCUACACUCCCUGUGUGCCUCCACCUGAACUGGCGUUCAACAAACAGAACACAGUUUGGAUAGUAGAUGACAUUACUGAGGUGGGAGUACGGGGUAGAAAACUGUUCUUGGAUGUUCAACGGAAGUUGUAGCAAAUUUGCAGCUCUUGUUUGGAUAGUUCAUGUCCGUUACAGGAAUUAGUUAGAGAUAUGCUCAACAAGGAGAACUCGUAUUUUGAGGAUCGCGUUAAAGUAUUUGAGAACAAGCAAGUAGUAGGGUGCACGAUGCAUGAGAUGCUUACCUUGAAUCGCUUAUCCCAAGAACUAGUACUUCAGUCAUAUGUUUGGCAUAUGCGCGUCCAAUUUCUUCAAUCUUUUGAUCACAAAGAGAUUGAAUGUGUAAUAAAGAACAUCGGUAAUGACAGAAUUGAAAGGUCUUCCAUGUUUGGCAGGGGGGAGACAUCAAAGUCCACCUUCAAAGAGCCAUUCAAGUUUGGUGACUUCCAGGAAUGGAUUUGGUGUCCAUUUUCAGAAAUUUGUGAGGCAUACAUUGAAGAUCUUAGGAAAAAUUACAUAGAACGUAUGUUGAAGCCUGAAAUUCUGAAGACAACCACCGAAUUGGUCUCCACAGAUAAAUCGAUUUCAGUUUCCCUUGGAGAAAAUUUGGUUUCGCUCUAUGAUUUAGAACUUACAAGUGCAAUAGCUUGUGCCCUAACCAUGUUAUUCAAUCGACGCGCCUCAUCAACGGUCACAUCUCAUCCAAAGAUCCUAGACACCUCAUCAACGGAGGCAUCUCAUCCAAAGAUCCAUCUUAGAGAUGGAGAAUAUCCAAGAAAGGGUAUAAUUUCCUAGUCUUGUGUGUAUGAGAAAGAGUUCCAUGCUCUUCGAGAUCAAUGUUGUCCAUCUGAAAGUGAUUAUAUAGCUUCGCUGAGCCGCUGUGAAGAUUUUGCGGCUAAAGGAGGCAAAAGUGGUUCAAUGUUUGUGAUGACAAAGGAUGAGAGGCUCAUCGUGAAGCAAAUUCAUAAGAUUGAAUUCGAUUCUUUCAUGGAGUGUGCACCAAGAUAUUUCGGUUACAUAAGCAAAUGUCUUAGCUCAAGCCAUCAUUCGUGCCUUGCGAAAAUUCUUGGGAUAUAUAAGGUAACUGAAAGGCAGGGCGAACGCCGGAAGAAUCGGGAAUGUUUGUUGAUUGUUAUGGAAAACAUCCUGUUUGGUCGUAACGUAGUCCGCUCAUAUGAUCUCAAAGGCACGCAGUUUUCUCGGUACACUCCAAACGCAGAUGGCAGAGAAGUCGGUUUGGAUGGCAACUAUGUUGAAGACAACCAUAUCUCUCCACUGCUUCUGAGCAUAAAUAGCAAACAGGACUUGCUUCAAGCUAUAUUGGCGGAUACACAGUUCCUCGCGUCAAUUAAUGUAAUGGACUAUUCUUUACUCUUGGGAGUAGAUGACCAGAAAAAAUAGCUUGUUUGUGGGAUUAUCGAUUAUCUGAGGCAGUAUACGUGAGACAAGAAGAUUGAGUCGUGUGUAAAGGCUUCUUUUUGCGUUCCGAAGAGUGUCAUGCCUACAGUCAUUUCGCCUGAGAAUUACAAGACAAGGUUUGACGAGUUCAUGCAGGUGCGCAUGAUCUGUCCCCCUCAUCCAGACUAGUUUUUGUGAAUUACACAGAUUUAGUUUACUCAUCCAGACUAGUUUUUGUGAACUUAACUUCUUUGUACUCUAGCCUUAUCAUAUUACUAUCCUAAAGAUUUUUUACCCGGGCUGGAACCCGUCAAUCCGUACCCAGUAUAUGUUAUAGAAUCUGAAGUUUGUAACCAUGACAUUCAAUGGAAUGUAUCUACAACAACAGAGGAGCAAACCAAGGAAGCUAUGAGCUAAAGCCAGAGUAUAGGCGGUCAGUCAAGGAGGAAGAACCCAAUCAAUAAU
Molecule: long non-coding RNA, 2822 nt
Organism: Papaver somniferum (opium poppy)
Lineage: Eukaryota; Viridiplantae; Streptophyta; Magnoliopsida; Ranunculales; Papaveraceae
Exons: 11
Source: RefSeq, a predicted model, not a curated record